Molecule: ribosomal RNA, 465 nt
Filed under: uncultured bacterium
Lineage: Bacteria
Description: partial 16S ribosomal RNA
Rfam family: Bacterial small subunit ribosomal RNA
Source: RNAcentral
CUACGGGCCGCAGCAGUGGGGAAUAUUGGACAAUGGGGGAAACCCUGAUCCAGCAAUGCCGCGUGUGUGAAGAAGGCCUGCGGGUUGUAAAGCACUUUCGGUUGGGAGGACUGCUUCUAGCACUAAUAUUGUUGGAAGUUGACGUUACCUUCAGAAGAAGCACCGGCUAACUCCGUGCCAGCAGCCGCGGUAAUACGGAGGGUGCAUGCGUUAAUCGGAAUUACUGGGCGUAAAGCGCGCGUAGGCGGCUAGAUCAGUCGGGUGUGAAAGCCCCGGGCUUAACCUGGGAACUGCAUCCGAUACUGUCUAGCUUGAGUACAGGAGAGGAGAGUGGAAUUCCACAUGUAGCGGUGAAAUGCGUAGAUAUGUGGAGGAACACCAAUGGCGAAGGCAGCUCUCUGGCCUGAUACUGACGCUGAGGUGCGAAAGCGUGGGGAGCAAACAAGAUUAGAUACCCGCGUAGUC